This 402-nucleotide ribosomal RNA is filed under the name Siphopteron brunneomarginatum (Carlson & Hoff, 1974). Its description in RNAcentral is "Siphopteron brunneomarginatum partial 16S ribosomal RNA". It matches the Rfam family "Archaeal large subunit ribosomal RNA", at positions 1920 to 2665 of the family's 2987-position model. The record is from RNAcentral. Lineage: Eukaryota; Metazoa; Mollusca; Gastropoda; Cephalaspidea; Gastropteridae.
AGCCUUAAGAAAUUAUUUAAGGUGAAGCCUGCCCAGUGAACUAUUAAACGGCCGCGGUACUCUGACCGUGCUAAGGUAGCAUAAUCACUUGACUUUUAAAUGGAGUCUGGAAUGAAUGGAAAAACGGAGUUAAGCUGUCUCUAAUUUUAUAUUUUUAACUUACUAAUUAGGUGAAAAGGCCUAAGAAUGAAAAAAGACGAGAAGACCCUUAGAGUUUUGAUAUUUUUUUGUUGGGGUGACAAAGGAUUUAACAUCCUUAAAUUUAUAAGACGGUUAUCAUGAAUAGAUAAACUACCUAAGGGAUAACAGCAUAAUCUAUUAAGGUUUGUGACCUCGAUGUUGGAUUAGGAAGCUUCUAGGCUAGCCGCUUAGAAUGGUGAUUCUGUUCGAAUUUUUACUCCU